This 459-nucleotide ribosomal RNA is filed under the name uncultured bacterium. RNAcentral describes it as "partial 16S ribosomal RNA". It matches the Rfam family "Bacterial small subunit ribosomal RNA", at positions 338 to 795 of the family's 1533-position model. The record is from RNAcentral.
CCUACGGGAGGCAGCAGUGAGGAAUAUUGGUCAAUGGGCGAGAGCCUGAACCAGCCAAGUCGCGUGAGGGAGGACGGUCCUAUGGAUUGUAAACCUCUUUUGCCGGGGAGCAAAAAGCGGUACGUGUACCGCAUCGAGAGUACCCGGAGAAAAAGCAUCGGCUAACUCCGUGCCAGCAGCCGCGGUAAUACGGAGGAUGCGAGCGUUAUCCGGAUUUAUUGGGUUUAAAGGGUGCGCAGGCGGCGAGUUAAGUCAGCGGUAAAAUUUCGGGGCUCAACCCCGACAAGCCGUUGAAACUGGCGUGCUAGAGUGGGCGAGAAGUAUGCGGAAUGCGUGGUGUAGCGGUGAAAUGCAUAGAUAUCACGCAGAACUCCGAUUGCGAAGGCAGCAUACCGGCGCCCAACUGACGCUCAGGCACGAAAGCGUGGGUAUCGAACAGGAUUAGAUACCCCUGUAGUC